AAGUCGUAACAAGGUUUCCGUAGGUGAACCUGCGGAAGGAUCAUUAACACGUAUCCAACGUUAAACCCCCCUGUGAACCUUUAGUGUGCUCCCUCAUUCUGUUGGAACGUGGCAAUCCCUGGUAAAUCAUCGCCGAACAGUUUUGAUUCAGGGACUUCUGCAAAGAGUGCUGGUUGUAGCGCGAGGCAAGUGGCCUGGCAUUCCUCUGCUUGUUAGUGUCUGAAAGUGUCACUGGCUCUGUAAGAAUGGCGCAGUCACGAUCGCUAGAGGCCGACACGGCCGGCGACCGGGUCAGCGAGCUCUGCUCCCACUGUUACGACAAACCUCUGUUCCCCUCUAGUGAAAGCUAUUGGGUUAUAACUAAACGACUGUUAACAAUGGAUAUCUCGAUUCUC
This 395-nucleotide unclassified non-coding RNA is filed under the name fungal sp. RNAcentral describes it as "partial internal transcribed spacer region". The stretch from base 1 to 46 matches the Rfam family "Eukaryotic small subunit ribosomal RNA", at positions 1786 to 1831 of the family's 1831-position model. Lineage: Eukaryota; Fungi. The record is from RNAcentral.